GAGACUCGCGUUCAGUUUCUCGUUGACUGGGAAGUAGGUAUUUUCCUAUAGGCGUUUCUAUAAUUAUGAACGCAUAUGCUGUAUUGACAGUAUUAACAAUAACGAUAGUUUCGUUGUUGCUGACCUUGCCAUUCUCGUCUGCACAAAAUAAUAAUCAAUUAUGGUUCAAUAAUGGACAAAGCAAUAUUAGCCAGUUUGGAACAGGCAGUAAUGCAGCAUUUAUGAUUCCGUCGUCUCUGAAUUUGAAAUCCGUGAACAUGGAACCUAUGACUCCGGCAUCCACAAUUGUAAAUAAGCCCUUAGUGGGCAAUACAAACUGGAUUAUCAAACUGGCAAUAAAGAUCAGUUGUCUUAACAGAGAUUCUACUAAGGAAAACUAUCCUAAUUGGUGCUUCCUUAACAGGGAUAAUCCUAACGGGUACUUUCCUACCAAUGAAUACUCUAAUAGCGAUUACUCUGAAGAGGCCAGUGCUACUGGAGAGUCUCUUAACAUAUUCAACAUCAAUUUCAAUAUAAUGUUCCCAAAUGGAGGCUAUCAUGAUAAGAAUUAUCCUAAUAACGGUAAUAGAGGGCAUCUUAACGCACAAAAUCUCAACACCGCCACUCCUAACGUGGUCCCUCUCAAGGAAGGCUACCCUAACGAAGGUUAUCCUAACGGGACUAGUAAUAAUGGAGGGUACCUUAAUGGACAAAAUCUCAACACUGUCUCCCUUAAUGUAGUCCUCCAGAUUGGAAACAAUCCUAACGGGUUUAAUAAUAACAGCGAGAAUCUUAACAAACAAAAUCUCAAUAUUAUCUCUCCUAACGUGGUCUCCUAUGAUAUAAACAUGACGAAACUAUCCGAAAAUAGGAACAAAACAGAAACACCAUUUCAGUCCUAUCCUAGUGACGUUAAUGAUGGUAUACCAGGAAUACACAAAACGCAGCAGGAUCGUGGACAGUGUAGAGACGAUGAGUUCCGCUGUGGAAGCAACGAGUGCGUACCGCCUAGUGUCAAAUGCGAUAAUAAAGCUGAUUGUAGCGACUCCAGCGAUGAGGCAUUCUGUAUUACGGAAGGAGAUCAAGAAAACGGUUGUGCAUUACCUGAGCAGCCGACAGGUGGACGUUAUAAGUUGGAAGGAUGCGAUGAGCUAUGCCGCAAACAGCCUGGCGAUAUAGUCCCGCAAUAUAGUAUUCUCACUUAUACUUGUAAUGAAGACUACACGUUGGACAGUAGCAGUACUACCAUUUGUGUCUACAAAACAUGGGAACAUCAGGUCUCCUGUCUCAAAAUUUGCCCGCCGUUGAACAGCACCAGCGUAGACAUUUCCUGCAACUACAGAGGAGAAGAGGUGUCUUGUAGCGAGCCUAUACUACCUGGGACACAAGCCACGUUGACCUGUAAACCAUUUUAUAGAUUACCUUUAAUCAGUCUGGAUAACUUGUCAAUGGUGUGUCUCGACAGUGGAGUGUGGGAUCACGCCAUGUUUCAUUGUGAAUUAGUGUGUGGCAUAAUCAUCCCGCAAAACAAUCCACUAAUUGUAGUUGGCAACGGCAUUAAGUCCACAUUAGGCUCGUUUCCGUGGCAUGUUGGUAUCUACGUAAAAGAUAGCGCCAAAACGUACAAGAAUAUAUGCGGUGGCAGUCUGAUAAGCAAGAAUCUCGUCGUCUCAGGUAAGUCAACGAACAGACAAAUCUAUUUUCUUCUCAUCGAUCCUUUAUACAAGUCUCGUUUUCUCUUUCCACCCGCAGCUGCACAUUGUUUCUAUGACGAGGUUGAAAAUAAACCUUACAACGCGUCGAAUUACGCUGUGGCUGCUGGCAAAUACUAUCGUUCUUGGGAUGCCCAGGAGAAGUACAGCCAGAAGUCGUUGGUGGAGUAUGUAAAAUUGCGCUCCGACUACUUUGGAACGAGAGGUAACCUUGCCGAGGAUAUAGCUUUGGUGAAACUACAGACGUCUUUAGAUUUUAACAUGUAUGUGUCACCCAUCUGUGUGGAUUGGCAAAAUAUAUACGACAAAGAGCAGCUGGAAGAGGGACAAUUAGGAAAGGUAGAUAAACGAGUAUAAAUGGUAUAUAAAUCGCAAGAAAGUCUAUUGGUUGGAUAUCUUCACAUAACUCAGUUAGAAUGAAGAUGUUUUGUAAUCUAGCGUGAGUGCGGCGCAAUCAAUUGGAAGAUUAUCUGAUUUAUGGGAAACAACGAACGUCUCGUCGCAUUUUUCAUCAUAAAAGGAUAAAAAUUAAAUUUAAAAGGAUCUCAAACAUGAUUGUGAGUUUAUGACUGUAACUUGAGCUUGAGCGAAAACAUCAAUGGCGAACUUUAAACGCCUUCAUGCAGUUUAAUCAAAUAGCAGAUAUUUCGUAAUGGAGGCACGUAUACGUAACAUUCAGAAAGUUAUCAAAAAAUUGUCAAAAGCAUCAAGAAGACACGUUUCUCAAUAUGUUUUUUAGUUAUAUAUCGUUGCGAGUCGUUGUGUCAAUGUUACUUCAUCGUGCGUCUGCGCGCGAAUUAUAAGAGUAAAUUUACAAUUGAACAGAUCAGUCAUCCAGAUUUUUACAUGACAAAUAUUCCGUCGUCAUCUUCAGAGACAGGAGAAUCGAAAUCAAAUGUAAGAUCAAAAGAGAGAAUAAAACAACAGUGCGUUCGCUCGGUGAUUUCAGCUGGUCGGCUGGGGUAAAGAUACCACUCUUAAGCCCACAGAGGAAUUAUUCGAAGUUAAUAUGCCGUACGUGGAGCGACAGAAAUGUCGGGAUAACGUACCUUUAGAAUUUCGCGGAUUCAUCACGUUCGAUAAGUUCUGCGCCGGCUUUAUGAAUG
RNAcentral lists this unclassified non-coding RNA (2797 nucleotides) under Harpegnathos saltator (Jerdon's jumping ant). RNAcentral describes it as "modular serine protease, transcript variant X10". Lineage: Eukaryota; Metazoa; Arthropoda; Insecta; Hymenoptera; Formicidae. The record is from RNAcentral.